This 271-nucleotide small nuclear RNA is filed under the name Jaculus jaculus (lesser Egyptian jerboa). RNAcentral's name for it is "7SK RNA (ENSJJAG00000003721.1)". It matches the Rfam family "7SK RNA". Rfam says of the family: 7SK was discovered as an abundant small nuclear RNA in the mid-70s but a possible function has only recently been suggested. Two independent studies have found that 7SK RNA binds the CDK9/cyclin T complex (known as elongation factor P-TEFb). P-TEFb activates transcription by phosphorylating the C-terminal domain of RNA polymerase II. Lineage: Eukaryota; Metazoa; Chordata; Mammalia; Rodentia; Dipodidae. The record is from Rfam by way of RNAcentral.
GGAUAUGAAGGUGAUCUGGCUUUAACAUCUGUCACCCCAUUGAUCACCAGGGUUGAUUCAGCUGAUCUAGCUGGCGAGGCAGGUGUCCCCUUCCUCCCUCACCACUCUAUGUGAAUCCAUCCUGAAGCUGGUCUUUUGUCAAGGGUAUAUGAGUAGCUGUGUUCCCCUGCUGGAACCUCCAAACAAGCUCUCAAAUAUUUUUCAACAGCUUCAUUGCUACACAUUUAUUUUUUUCAUAAUUGUCCUUCUAAAUUUUUGAAAGGAUAUCCUG